Molecule: long non-coding RNA, 285 nt
Filed under: Chinchilla lanigera (long-tailed chinchilla)
Lineage: Eukaryota; Metazoa; Chordata; Mammalia; Rodentia; Chinchillidae
Description: lncRNA (ENSCLAG00000029010.1)
Source: RNAcentral
CCUCACCUGAGGAGUGAUCAGCUCAGACUAGGACAGACGCGACAUGUGUGGGGACUGCGCCUCCCCGCUUGGAAGGAAGGGUGAAACUGGCUUUAGCUGCAGGAAGGAAGGAUGCAUUGGCGCGGUGGAAAUCUUCACAGAAGGUGAAGGAGAACGUGGCUCUCUCUGUGACCACUGGGCUACAGUGGCAGCCAGGAUUUGCGUGCCUGGACAGCAGCUUCUGUCUUCACCGAAACUUGAGCUAAGCUUUCUGCCUGCCUGCUGAAGUUUGGAUUUGAAUACCCC